GCAGGCGCGUAAAUUACCCAAUCCUGACACAGGGAGGUAGUGACAAUAAAUAACAAUGCCGGGCCUAUCUAGGUCUGGCAAUUGGAAUGAGAACAAUUUAAAUCCCUUAUCGAGGAUCAAUUGGAGGGCAAGUCUGGUGCCAGCAGCCGCGGUAAUUCCAGCUCCAAUAGCGUAUAUUAAAGUUGUUGCAGUUAAAAAGCUCGUAGUUGAAUUUCUGGUGGGAGUGUACAGUCCGACACUGAGUGUUGGUUCUUGUGUGUCUCCGGCCAUCCUUGGAGUGAAUCUAUCUGGCAUUCAGUUGUUGGGUAGAGUAUCUCCAUCGUUUACUGUGAGGAAAGGAAAGUGUUCAAAGCAGGCUUACGCCGUUGAAUCUUUUAGCAUGGAAUAAUAAGAUAGGAUCUUGAUACUAUUUUGUUGGUUUGCGUGUCGAGAUAAUGAUCAAUAGGGACAGUUGGGGGUAUUUGUAUUCCAUAGUCAGAGGUGAAAUUCUUGGAUUUAUGGAAGACAAACUAAUGCGAAAGCAUCUACCAAGGAUGUUUUCAUUAAUCAAGAACGAAAGUGUGGGGAUCGAAGAUGAUUAGAUACCAUCGUAGUCUACACCAUAAACCAUGCCGACUCAGGGUUGACCGGCGUUAUCAUGACCUGGUCAGAACUGUAUGAGAAAUCAAAGUCUUUGGGUUCCGGGGGGAGUAUGGUC
Molecule: ribosomal RNA, 697 nt
Filed under: Eucampia zodiacus
Lineage: Eukaryota; Bacillariophyta; Thalassiosirophyceae; Eucampiales; Eucampiaceae
Description: SSU rRNA
Rfam family: Eukaryotic small subunit ribosomal RNA
Source: RNAcentral